This is a non-coding RNA of Callithrix jacchus (white-tufted-ear marmoset), 46 nucleotides long. The record is from Rfam. Lineage: Eukaryota; Metazoa; Chordata; Mammalia; Primates; Cebidae.
AAUAAGGCUUUUCUCAAAGCCAAAAAUAAAGUCCUAGUGAUUGGUA